AUAUGUUGUGAUUGUUGAUUUGUUGUCUGUGGACAUGGAUAUGAACCGUCUUCGGAAAGCAAAGCAAAGCCGUAAAGUCGUGUUUGUGCGUCCAGUCGGUCCACUGCAAUGAUCUAGUCAACUGCUGCCGGACGGUUUCGACUCGCGACUCGCCAAAUGUUGUAGCCGUCCAUCUUAACCUCCCGGCUCAGCGUGUCAGCGCCGUCCACACGUAUUUAAUUAACACGUUAUUCCUUUCCUCUCGUUUAUCGUAAGUCCUUGGCGGGCGUCCGAACUCGUCUAAUUUUAGGUUGCUUUGCAUGUGACCGACGCUUUGAUGCGGAUUCCCGGAAUUCCGCCUCUUGUGUGGUGAAGCGCAUCGAUACACAAUUGCUUUUGCUACUGUCGUUUCGUUUCGCUACGUUUCGUUCUGGAAUCACUCGCUUAGAUCUUAUCCGAGUCGCUUCCGUGGGGCUCCAACCGUGUGGAUCUCCGUUUUUCUCUGAGUCACUAUUGCCCUAUGGUCUAACAUGUUGUUUUGUGAAAACAGGUGAAAGCUGGACAGGAGUGGCGGCAAGGUGAUUUGGAUUUGGUGAGGAUGCAGUGGUGCAGAGGGGGAUUCAUCAAUCCAUCCAGCUGAUAAGGACCAUCCUGGACGCAGUGAAGCAGAUCUCCUGCCAUUUUUCAGAACUACAACUCCAUGAGUUGUGGCUGGAGAGGAGUGGCGGCCAGGUGAUGUGGUGAGGAUCUAGAGCAGAAUCCGUAAGUCCGUCUAGCUGAUAAAGUGCUGAGCCAUCCUGGAUGCAAUGAAGCAGAUCUGCUGCUGUUCGUUGAAACCACAUCUCCAUGAUCCCAGUGGAUGCAGGACAACCAACAGACUCAGCAGAGUCCCUCUUCCAAGCUCAAAAAAGUAGGGGACCAGCUCUGCUUUUUAUUGGCCAUGCUACCUAUCUCAUCACUGAAGAGAGAAGCAGAAGAAAAUAAUCAAGAAAUAUAAUACUUCAUAGUUUGUGCUGCCUGAAGCUAUUGUCAAAUUAUUUUUAAGUUAGUGAUUUGUAAUUUAUUGUUUGCUCUGCUUUUGCACUCAACCUUUGCUUUGCAUUGGUAAUGGCCAAAUUUGUUUUCACCGACCCUAAACUAACUUCAU
Thrips palmi is the source of this 1126-nucleotide long non-coding RNA. RefSeq lists it as uncharacterized. NCBI's taxonomy places the organism in Eukaryota, Metazoa, Arthropoda, Insecta, Thysanoptera, Thripidae. The record is from RefSeq and is a predicted model, not a curated record. The transcript is spliced from 3 exons.